Molecule: ribosomal RNA, 1015 nt
Filed under: Photobacterium phosphoreum
Lineage: Bacteria; Pseudomonadati; Pseudomonadota; Gammaproteobacteria; Vibrionales; Vibrionaceae
Description: bacterial LSU rRNA
Rfam family: Bacterial large subunit ribosomal RNA
Source: RNAcentral
AGUAUCAUUAACUGAAUACAUAGGUUAAUGAAGCGAACCGGGGGAACUGAAACAUCUAAGUACCCCGAGGAAGAGAAAUCAACCGAGAUUCCGGUAGUAGCGGCGAGCGAAACCGGAUUAGCCCUUAAGCUAGUUCUGCGUUAGGUGAAGGUUCUGGAAAGUUCCGCGAUACAGGGUGAUAGCCCCGUAACCAAAAACGCAUUAAUAGUGAAAUCGAGUAGGACGGGACACGUGAUAUCCUGUUUGAACAUGGGGGGACCAUCCUCCAAGGCUAAAUACUCCUGACUGACCGAUAGUGAACCAGUACCGUGAGGGAAAGGCGAAAAGAACCCCUGUGAGGGGAGUGAAAUAGAACCUGAAACCGUGUACGUACAAGCAGUAGGAGCCCACUUGUUGGGUGACUGCGUACCUUUUGUAUAAUGGGUCAGCGACUUAAUUUUAGUAGCAAGGUUAACCGUUUAGGGGAGCCGUAGGGAAACCGAGUCUUAACUGGGCGUCAUAGUUGCUAGGAUUAGACCCGAAACCGAGUGAUCUAGCCAUGGGCAGGUUGAAGGUGAGGUAACACUUACUGGAGGACCGAACCGACUAAUGUUGAAAAAUUAGCGGAUGACUUGUGGCUAGGGGUGAAAGGCCAAUCAAACUCGGAGAUAGCUGGUUCUCCCCGAAAGCUAUUUAGGUAGCGCCUCGGACGAAUACUACUGGGGGUAGAGCACUGUUAAGGCUAGGGGGUCAUCCCGACUUACCAACCCUUUGCAAACUCCGAAUACCAGUAAGUAAUAUCCGGGAGACACACGGCGGGUGCUAACGUCCGUCGUGAAGAGGGAAACAACCCAGACCGCCAGCUAAGGUCCCAAAGUUAUAGCUAAGUGGGAAACGAUGUGGGAAGGCUCAGACAGCCAGGAUGUUGGCUUAGAAGCAGCCAUCAUUUAAAGAAAGCGUAAUAGCUCACUGGUCGAGUCGGCCUGCGCGGAAGAUUUAACGGGGCUAAGCUAUACACCGAAGCUGCGGCAAUAUG